CCCUUAGAUGUUCUGGGCCGCACGCGUGCUACACUGAGUGGAUCAGCGGGUCAGGUUGCGCGAAAGUGUUUCCUAAUCUUGAAAUCCGCUCGUGAUGGGGAUUGACGGUUGCAAUUUUCCUCAUGAACGAGGAAUACCUUGUAAGCGCGGGUCAUCAUCCCGCGCUGAAUACGUCCCUGCCCUUUGUACACACCGCCCGUCGCUCCUACCGAUUGAGUGGUCCGGUGAGGCUUUGGGAUCUGAGCGGAAAGAGCGUUUCGCUGUUUCUGCUCGGAAAACUCAGUCGAACCUUAUCAUUUAGAGGAAGGAGAAGUCGUAACA
Molecule: ribosomal RNA, 321 nt
Filed under: uncultured eukaryote
Lineage: Eukaryota
Description: partial 18S ribosomal RNA
Rfam family: Eukaryotic small subunit ribosomal RNA
Source: RNAcentral